Molecule: transfer-messenger RNA, 401 nt
Filed under: Bacteroidaceae
Lineage: Bacteria; Pseudomonadati; Bacteroidota; Bacteroidia; Bacteroidales
Also listed under: 1 other name
Description: Prevotella sp900110085 Standard tmRNA
Rfam family: transfer-messenger RNA
About the family: Bacterial tmRNA, also known as 10Sa RNA or SsrA, is named for its dual tRNA and mRNA-like properties. Its role is to liberate the mRNA from a stalled ribosome. To accomplish this part of the tmRNA is used as a reading frame that ends in a translation stop signal.
Source: RNAcentral
GGGGUUGACAGGAUUUGACAGCGGGUUGAGAUGGUACGUAAGCACGCGGAGGCUUCUUGGUUCCCUCCAUAAUCUGAGUCAGGGAAAAAUUAAUUGGCGAAACACGUUACGCUCUCGCUGCCUAAUCGAAGUACAGUAGAUUACUGGCUUUAUUCCGUCACCAGGUGAUGGAACGAGACGUCGCUCCGAGGAUGUUGUUCCGAAUCCAAAGAUCCAGCGGCGCAGGUUAAAUCGGAAAUAGUCCGUGUAGGCUCCGAUGCAUGGAUGAAAAUUUAGGAGCUAAGGUGUCAGUUGGUGGUCCAGGUCUUGCUGACGCUCGAAAACCGAAGUCUGGAAUAAGCGUGUAGAAAGCGUAUGGUUUCCCUGUUUGGACGAGGGUUCGACUCCCUCCAGCUCCACCA